CUGCCUAACUGGUACAACUGUAACUGUUUCUUAAAGAGGUUAUUCAACUGUUCCAUUAAGCCAGAUGCUUCAGGAUGGUGGGGUACAUGGUAAGACUAGUGGAUUUCAUGAGCGUGGGUCCACUGUUGCAAUUCUUUGGCUGUGAAGUAAGUUCCUUGACAGAAAUGAUGCUGUGUGGAGUAUCCUAAGAGUGAAUAAGAAGACAUUCAGUAAAUUCAUGGAUGGUUGUUUCAGCAGAGGUACUAUGUACAGGAAAGGCAAACUCAUAACCAGAGACAUGGUACAAUCAAGCUGGCAUUAAGUUAGAAGCUUCCUCCCUGCUGGAAGACUUCAUUUGCAGUGAGUACUGGUUACUGAAGAAACUCAAAACUGGCCAGAGUGGUGAGAGUAAGUGACUGUUGAAUGCCCAGCCCUGAAUGAGACAUCUGUAUCAUUCCCACCAAGUCUCAGGGAGCAUUGAAGAAAGAGUAAAGUGCCAUUGAACACUGUCCUAGGGGCACAACAUGGACACAUGUGGCCUCUUGAACUCUCAGCAUCUGUGAAUAUCAGCAGCGGAUCCACACAAUAUUGGGCCCAUUACAUUCUGUCGUGGAGGGAUCGAAGGGAAUCGUGUGACCCCUCCCCUCCCUGAGACUACAUAAGCAAUUGACAGCAGCCAGGGGAGAUGGCGUAGCUGCACAUAAGUUGCCCACACGUUGAAGUCUUCUUUAUGAAAAUAAUGAAUCAUGGGCCAGGUGUGGUGACAUGUGCCAUUAAUUUCAGCACUCGGGAGGAUGAGGCAGGAGACUCUCUAGUUCAAAGCCAGCCUGGGCUAAACGUUGAGCCACUGGCUACAUAGAAAUAAGUAAGGUAAGUAAGUAAGUAAGUAAGUAAAUAAAUCAAUGUUCAGGAUGUAGCUCAGUUGUUGAGCACUUUCCUAGAAUGCAUUAAGCCCUGUGUUUAAUCCCCAGCAUCAGGAUUGGUGGUGCAUGUCUAUAAACCCAAGAAGUGGGGGCAGGAGGAUCAGAAGUGUGAGGUCAACCUCAGCCACAUAGCAACUCUGAGGACAGUUUGGGAUUCACAAAACCCUGUUUCUCAAAAACAAAAUGAAAACAAUACACACACACACACACACACACGUAUGGAUAUAUACAUACAAUACAUAUGGAUAAAUUGUUAAGUUUCCUAUGUGUGUCAAAAGAACCUGUGUAUCACUAAUAAUCCUCUAAUGUCUGAUCUUCAGCAAAUGGCAUUAUAAACAGAAUCGUACGUUUACUCAUUUAGCCUCACAGUGACUGUGCUGGGUAGAUAGUGUUUUGAUUCUCAUCUGCGGCUGAAAAAAGAAAACUAUCUAAUACCUCACAGCUAGAAUAGGGCAAGGCUUGGAUUCAAAUGCAAAUUGUCUGGCUUCUGAGCCUGUCUUUGUAACUGUAACUCCAUUCUACUUACACUUACAGAAUUUCUCCUGAUUUCUCGUGGUCAGUUAACAUAGCCCUACAAAACAAUUGCAAAGAAAGUGUGUGGAUUAUUUUACAUAGCCUGUUGUGUUAAGUGAUUAGAAUAACUUUACAUUAUAAAAGCAAAAAUUGAGCUGGGCCGUGGUGGUGCAUUCCUUUAAUUCCAGCACUCGGAGACAGAGGCAGGAGGAUCUCUGAAUUUGUGAUCUACAGAGCAAGUUCUAGGACAGCCAAGGUUACAGGGAAAAAAAAAAAAAAAAGAGAGUCUUCUCCAUAGAAACAAUUACUUCCUCAUUGUGUACUUUUUCAUCAUUGUUUUGUGUUGUUUGCCUUGCUGCUCUGGAAUUCAAUAUGUUAACCAAGCUGACCUGGAACCUGUAGCAGUCUCCUACCUCUGCAUGCCUCGGGAAUGCUGGGAUAGUAGGCAUGUGAGACCAUGCUUGGACUUAGUUGUUUUUCACCCUUGUUUGUUUAA
Peromyscus eremicus (cactus mouse) is the source of this 1911-nucleotide long non-coding RNA. RefSeq lists it as uncharacterized. Lineage: Eukaryota; Metazoa; Chordata; Mammalia; Rodentia; Cricetidae. The record is from RefSeq and is a predicted model, not a curated record. The transcript has 4 exons.